Polypterus senegalus (gray bichir) is the source of this 453-nucleotide long non-coding RNA. RefSeq lists it as uncharacterized. The transcript has 3 exons. Lineage: Eukaryota; Metazoa; Chordata; Cladistia; Polypteriformes; Polypteridae. The record is from RefSeq and is a predicted model, not a curated record.
UAGCGCUAAUAACCAACAACCAGUAUUUCGGUCUUGCCGCUUGUCCCCCGUUAAAACAACAAGUACAUACAAUCGAAAGGGGGACGUGUAAAAAAAAAAAAAGUUUAAAGCUUCACUGAUGAAGGCGGUCUACAGACCUCAUCGCGCCAAACUCCUGGUUGCUUUUGCGCGGGCUCCAUUUCAGUCGGCGCGUCAUGCAUGUGGUUUUCUCCCAGGUCCGAAGAAUUCAUAUUUAUUCGCCCAGCUUUGAGUUCUUUAUUUCAGUCGGCUGGCGCCGUCCAACAGGGGUAGACCGGAGGCCUGCAUACGGAGGCCAUGCCCAGGAAGGUCAAUGAAGACACCUGCUACAGAAUCGGUCCCAUAAGGCUUAAUAAAAUCCUCAAAUCAUUCUUUCUCAUGGCUUGGUUGUGGCAUCCUUUCUCAUCCUUGUAGUCUCAGCAUCCUGCAGUGGUA